RNAcentral lists this long non-coding RNA (7959 nucleotides) under Olea europaea (common olive). Its description in RNAcentral is "long non-coding RNA (OEUR_LNC003963)". The record is from RNAcentral. Lineage: Eukaryota; Viridiplantae; Streptophyta; Magnoliopsida; Lamiales; Oleaceae.
GAUAAAUAUGUCUUUAGACUUUCAAAAACCCUUUGAUGCUCUCCUUUCCAAAUGAAUUCGUCCUGAUUUUUCAACUUUAAAAGUGGCGAAAAAGCUUUGGUUCGCCCUGCACAAUUAGAAAUAAAGCGUCUUAAAAAAUUUACUUGGCCUAGAAACCUUUGCAAUUCCUUUUUAUUGCUAGGUGAUUUGGCCUCUAAAAUAGCCUUUACUUUAUUUUUAUCAAAUUCAAUCCCCCUUUUGUGUACUAAGAAACCAAGGAAAUUUCCUGCAUUAACGCCAAAUGCACAUUUCAAAAGGUUUAAUUUUAGUUUAUAUUACCUCAUUCGCUCAAAUGAAUAUCUCAAUUGUUCAAAAUGGUCCUCUUCUUUAAUGGAUUUGACCACUAUAUCAUCUACAUACACCUCAACAAACUUGCCUGUCAUAUCAUGAAAAAUCAAGUUCAUUGCCCUUUGAUAAGUUGUUCCUGCAUUUUUUAGGCCGAAGGGCAUAACUACCCAUUCAAAACAUCCUAGAGAUCUAGGGCAUCUAAAUGCAGUUUUGUGUAUAUCUUUCUCAGCUAUAUAAAUUUGAUUGUAUCCCGAAUACCCAUCUAUGAAGGAAUAUAUUACGUAUCCAGCAGUCGAAUCUACUAAAGAAUCUACCAUAGGCAUUGGAUAUUCAUCCUUAGGUGUGGCUAUAUUUAAAUUCCUAAAGUCUAUGCACACCCUUAAUUUACCAUUCUUUUUUAGCACUGGCACGAUAUUGGACAACCAAUUCACAUAUCUGACUGUUCUAAUAAAGCCUACUUUUAAUAAUUGCUCUAUUUCUUUCUUAAUCUCCGGAAGUACAUUAGGAGCAAAAUGUCUAGGAGGUUGCUUAUGAUGCUUAAAAUUUAGUUUGGUUGGCAAUCUAUGUUCUACUAAAUCCCUAUCUAAACCAGGCAUAUGUUCAUAUUCCCAAGCAAAACAACCCUUAUACUCUUUUAAUAAAGCGAUUAAUUUAUCAUUAACCUCUUGAUCGAGCAUCUGACUGAUGAAGGUAGGGCGAUCUUCCCCUUCAUUGCCAAUAUUCACUUUAAUCAGAGGGUCUUGUACUUGAGCGUAUCCAGGCUUGGUGAUCCCCAUUACUUCAUCAUCCAAUUCCGUUAUAUGCACUUCUUCUUCUAAACAAUCCACCUUGUUGACUUCUCGGCCAAUAUUUUGUUCCAACUCGAGCACUGCCAAUUUGUCUCUCAAUGCUUUCAAGGCUGCUUCUUCUUUCGUCUUGUCCUUGCAUUCUUUAUUGAAAGUUAUUAAUUUGGCUUUGAAGGCCUGAAUAUCGACCAUUUGCCUUUGUUGCUUACAACUCAUUUAAAACUCCUUGAUUACUCUUUUGCCAAUUACUGGCUCUUCCAGGGUCAUUAUGUUUGGCCUCAUCUGACCGAUCACUUCAGUGAGUGCAUCCACCGAAAACGGCUCUUCACUCUGUGUGAUAAUUUGAGUUUCUUCUCCAUCUUGGACUACUCUGAUAGGUCCAUAAUUUCCUUCGUACAUGAACCUUUCUACUGAGUUUGCUUCUGCGACAAAAAGUCUAUGAUCGACCUGCAUGACUUCUGCUUCACCUUUGUCAUUCCAGAAAACCAGGCAUUGAUGGAGCGAUGAGGGUAUACAGCAACUUCCGUGUAUCCAAUCCCUUCCUAAUAACACAUUGUAACUAGUAGGACCAUCUAUUACAAAGAAAACUGUGGUCCUAGUAGUUGUCCCUAUAGUUAUGUCCAAUGGCAUAACCCCUUUAGUUGAAGUUGCUCCUCCAUUGAAACUCGUAAGGACGACUUCUGUUGGAAUCAUAUCGCUUUCUGUCUUUGUAAAUUUCUUCAUCAUCCUAGAUGGAAUGGUGUUUAUAGGUGCUCUAUUGUCGACAAGCACUUUUGCCACAGGUAUGCCGUUAACUAGAGCUUUAACGUACAAUGGCCUCAAGUGUUUAGUUAACUUCAUGGCUGGCUGCUUAAAAAUAACCUUUUCAGCAGCAUCUAUUUCCACUUCCUGCUUGUCCUCUGUCGAGUUAUCCUUUUGUGAGAAGUCAACGUGCAGCAUGUCGUACUGAACUUCCGUUUCCUAUAUUUCCUUUUUACUGUUUUCUAAUACUUCUUCUUCAGUUACCCAACCUGUGGGAGGAGGCAUUAUUCUUGGAGGUGAUCCAUACUUUUCAGAGCGGGAACUCUCUUUUUCCUUUUGGGCAUCCCAUACAGCACGUAAUAAUCGAAAGAACUCCUAAACGGCUCCCCCAACAAGUCCACUUCACGAACCCCCUCUCGAUGUAGUUGUUUCAACAGAGUAUUGUACGAUACUCCUCUUUUUCUUCUUUCUGCUUUCAAAUCAAUUUCCUCUUCGAUAUCCAUCAUACCAUCAUCUCCUUCAUCAUCGUAGGCCCCUCUAGAAGUUUGGCCUUCUUCAUAUUCCAGCACGCAUGCUUCUUCUUCGUUAUCCUCCCCCUCUUCUUCUUCUUUCUUUUUAUUCUUGAACUCAUUGGCUAGCAAAUAGUUAUUAGCCAUGACAGGAGGUAACGUACCGAACUGAAUAGUAAGGGACUGAUCUGGAUAUUCUCCAUCUCUUCUGUCUCGCUCAAACUUUGACCUCCCAGAAGAACUUUUUGGAAAUUCUUUCAUCGAUUCACCUGUACCGGUCUCUACACUGUCUUCGAGAAUAUUUUGAUUGGCCACCUCGAGUAGCUUAAGCGCCUUAAGAUGUGGCAUUCCCUAUUGUUGCCUCAUCAUUCGUCCAUAGUUCCAUUGAAAACGCCUUUGUUAGGUUCUAGUCAUCUCGUUGAAGGGUAUCGCCCUUCCUACAUUAUACUGGAAUGAAUACCAUACAUUUGGUUGGCGAGGCUGCGGCCUGAAUAUUCUCCCAUUAUUCACUGGCUUGAACUACCUCUCAAAAGGCGGUCCCCUAUAGAACGAUGUACCUCGCCCUCUACAAGGUUGAGCGUUUGGGAAAAAACUAGGGCGACGGUGAUGCUGCCAUAUCCCUAGUUUCUCUGUAUUCCCACUCACUUCUUUUUUACAUCUUGCACACAGGACGUCUUCAUCAUUUUCAGGCUAUUUCCCUUUAAUACAUUCAAAGACACUGGGAUGUGGUCCAGGGUCCUCUUCCUCAUCAUCUAUAACUGACUUGAAUUUUGGCAACUUGUUUUUGAAACCAGUCGUCACGAUGUUCACCCCAAGUGGCUGUGGAAAAAGGGUUUUCAUCCACUGCCAUCUUCCUCUUAUCAUUGAACGUAAUUCGUCCUGAUUCUAUGGCAUCCUGUAACACAUGGCGAAAAACCAAACAGUUAUUAGUCAAAUGUGACCAUACAUUAUACCACUUACAAUAUUUUUGACCCUUAACAUGUUCAGGGUUUGACAAUUUAUGUUUAUCGCUCAACUUUAUCUGCUUAUCCUUAUAUGGUUUAUCAAAUAUGAGGUCAGCUUUGGUUACAUCGAACGAGAAUGUUCUAGCCUUUUUAUUUUCAUCUUUUAUAGGCUCAUCCUUACCCGACGGUCUAGGCUUAGCCAUUAUAGGACAAGUGUACGUGUCUCCUUUGAUUAGUUUGGCCAAACACAUUUUGGUUUGAUCGUAAUACUCAUCAUUAAUGGUAUGAACAUCAAAAUUUGGGUCUCUAUAAUAAGUCCAUUUGCUAGAAUUUUUCAUUUGCUCUUCUUCUCUUAUUAAUCGUUCAUACCUAAUCACAUUCGCGCUCAAUUGCAAAAGAUCGAGAAAUUCCUUGUCUUGCAACUUCUUUUUCAAAUCAAAGUUUAGACAACCUUGAGCGAUUUUGACAAACUCCUUUUCGGGCAAAGGUACAAAACAUUUACUUCUUGCUAUCUUGAACCUUUGAAGGAAACCUUCUGCUCAUUCAUUUGACAUUUGACGUAGAUUCGUCAAAUCGACCAAAGUAACUUCGGACUCAGUCUUAUAAAACUGAGCGUGGAACAAUUGCUCCAAUUGUUGCCAUUUUGAACAGAGUUCACUGGCAAAUUGAUGAACCAGUAGAAAGCUACUCCUGUUAAUAAACUAGGGAACAGCCUCAUUUUAUGGUAACCAGUUACCUCACCACUUUGCAGCAUGAAUCACCCUAUGUGUUCUCGAGUAGACACCUCUCCUAAACCGAUAAAUAGUGAGAAUUCUGGCACUUUAUACCCUCUAGGCCAUGGAUAUACUUGAUCUACCCAAUCAGAAUAUGGCUUGUGUAAGUCGGCCUAAUGAUAGGACGUACCCCAAAAGCCAUCUGAUCCUGUACUAUUUCCAUAAUUUGAUUCCUCAACAUAACGUUGGGGUCAUAUGGAAUUCCUACAUGUUGGUUGACGGGUUGAUUUGCUAGGGGCCUGAUAUUUGGUCCUUGGUUGGCAACAAAGUUUCCAUGAUUUGGGUCAUUGUUACCAUUAGUCUGAAUAUUUAUUCCAUCAUUAACACGUGGGGCAUUAUGUCAAUUAUUUAGGACAUUGUCUCUUAUGUUUAGGUUAGCCCCUAAGUUAGAUGUACCAUUGCCACUAUUCUGAUUUGGCAUUACACCAUCCCCUGAUUUGAAGUAGAGAGACCAAAAGGUGGUUCUACCCUUUGAUUUGGACUUAAGAUUGGGGAAUUAUGUCCCACAAUUGUCCUAAUUUGAAAAUGAUUUGCAAGAGGCACAACUGGCUGACAAAUUUGGCCUACCAACUUAUUCAUUAUUUCGUUCAAAGUAUUCAGUUGUUUGGCCAUGUUGUCAUAAUGUGCAUUCCCACUUUGGGUAAAUCUUUAUAUAUUAUGAAUAUUUCGUAGAUUUAUCUGUUCAAUGACAUCCCGUGUGAGUUCUCCAAGUAAUGCACGCAUGUUUCGAGGACUCAACUCUGUCAUUGGUUCGUAACGACUGUGACUGUUCUGACUUUGUCCAUCUGUUCAUGGAGAGCUAUGCUGCUCCUCAUAUCGCUCGACCACAGACUGGACUCCUCCCUGACUUGCUUCCUUAUCAGAUUUCUGAGGCAUAUUGUUUCACCUUUUGUAUCUUCAACACCAAACACCAAUGUCCCACUGGGCGUGCCAAAUUAUUUCGCGCGGGUAGUCGCUAACAAUUAAAAAGGGAUCAGACGAUUGCAUAAGAAACAAACCUCUUGAGACAAAGUCCCAAAAAUGGGUGUUUUAUUGGUGAUUAAUUUACAAUUGAAACUAAACAGAAUGCCUCCAAGGGGCGCAAGCACACGAGUACUGAAAAGAAAUGUUUAAGUCUAAAUUAAAAAAUUGAAAUUACAUAUUCUCUGUUUGAGAGUGUUCGAUUCGGGGGUCUCUCUGCUCUAUGUCUUCUCUUCCUUUUAUAUUUCCUUGAUGAUUUUUUCGUGAUCAACCGCUUAGAAACUGCUUGAUUAUAUUACAACUACACACUUUCUUUAUGGUGGCUAACUUGUCGUGGAACUGUCGUCUCUAACUGCUGCCACUACUCUUUGUCAUUCAACCGUCUUCAACUGAACUCCUUGAAUCGCGGAACGUGAUAAGGUUACUCAAUAACUGUUUCAAUAACUGCACUUCUGGAUAACCAUAACAUUCUUAUGUUUGCUAAGGUCCUGGGCGAUUCGAAGGUUUGGGCGAGAACAGGGUCAUAGCUCUGGACGACUGUAAGGCACUUCAUUUGCUCAGAUUUUGGGCGUCUUGCAAGCUUGGGCGAUGAUGUUUCCGUGUUCGUAGGCUUCCACUGCAUUCAUUAAUAAUCCUAUCUGGUCUUUAUCCUGAAUUGUCCAGUUGGACUUCAUUCCUUGGGCUAUUCGAUUUGGGCUGCACUUUUAGUGUGUCAACACACAUGCUAGUAAAUGUGUUGUGAUGACGAUUAAGUUUUUGAGGUAUAAUUAAUUGAUUUAUCGUUGGAUUUAUUCAGUACACUCUGUGCUUGUGGCUCGCGAUUAUAUUCUGUGCACAAUCGCUUGCUAACAUGAAGAAUGUUGAGAAAUGAGAAUGAUCUCAAGCAGAUCUCUAUGGCCAUGAUGGAAGCUACAACUUUUCAAGAACUCGUUUACACUUGUGCAUAUGUAAAUAUAUGCAGACAUCAAUUUUAUGAUCCAUAGAUGGUUUGAAAACUUUGGUCCCCUUGUUUUGGUUUCAGUUUAACAAGUAUGACUCAAAUAUAUGAUUCAUAGCUGCAACAUUUGAGAAUUUUAGAUCCUCUCCCAUUCGGGGGUGCUAGAUUGAUGAUGGAAGAGGGGAUUUUUCUUCUAAAUUUUUGGGAAAUACUACACAAAUCUGGAACUGGGAACUUGUAACAUUCUAUAUUUCUAUCUCUCUACAUGUUGCCGAAUUCCCAAUCUUAAGCCUUCAGCUCAAUGUUCUUUCAUUAGGAGUAUUAUGGGCUUACACUUGUGCAUCUAGCAUCUUUCAUGCUGCUUUAUCAUUAUAAGUUUCUUGAGGCCAACCAAGAGACAAUUUUCGGUUAAAACUAACUGCUUGUUACUGGCAUCAAUGAACUUCCUAUUGUUUUCAGCAAUUAUAUCUUCAAUGUAAAGCACUAGAAUCACUAAAGAACCUCGAAUCUUCUACACCACGGCUAGGUACUUCACGCAUUAUUGUAAGAACUAGCGUUUGAACCCCACGUGCACACUCACACAUCUUCCAAAUCCUCUUUAAGGAAUGCAAUUUUAACUUCCAUUCAGUGCAUUCUGGAUCCUUAUUCUUAACAAUUGAAUUUGGUAAAAUAAGUCGGACCUAAUUACAGACAGUGAGGCUGCUUGAUAAUCAAUUCCCUCAUUUUGGUGGAAGCCCUGGGCAAUAAGAUGAGUCUUUCAGCUUUAUCCCUAUUAUUAGAUCUAACAGUCUUAGAUCUUCAAGAUAGUUUACUGAUCGUCUUACAGAUGGGCUAUCUCUUCUCAUGCUUUAUUCUAUUUCUUACUAGCAGGUUUAGGCUCUUGGUCAUCACUAGAAGCUUUCACAAAGACAUUCCCUUUUUCUCAAUUAAACAAUAUGAGAUCCUAAUAUAGCUUUAUUUGAAUUCUUCUAUACAUAGUUCCACUUGAGCUCAUUCGCUGUAUCCAUAACUCAGUAAUUCACAGAUGCUAUGAAAUAAUAUUUUGUUCCUUAACUAGUUGAGUAAGUGCAACAAGAUUUAUAUCUUCCAGUUUUUAUGGUUUGAUACCUUCACAACAUCACACUAGGAAAGUCCUCUUCUAUCUGGCAUCACAUAACUGAUUUUUAUUAUAAUCUUUCAUCCUCUCCACCAGCAGUAAGCACAUAGCUCUUGCAAGGAUAAGACCAUAUGAUAAAUAUAUGUUUUUAUUUCUCUCCCUCUAAUCCUUCAUGUUCUCAUGAAAAGGCCCGUGAAUAUUGCUGAACCACGUGGCUGCAAAUUUAUAAAAUUAGGUUUUACAUCGUUAUAUAUUACUUUUUUUUUUUAUAGGAAAUGAAUUAUUAGAACAUCGUUAUAUGUUACUCAAGGAGUGGAAGAUACACAUUUUAAGCGCAUAAUUGAAAAUGGUUAAGAAUAUAGGCAACAGUUAAUAGGGCAUCUCCCCAACAAGAAAUGCAUAUUUUUACCUGGCGUUUUCAUUUUCCAAAACCACUCAAGGCUCCUGAGUUGUGGCUUCCAUCUUGCAAGGUUCAUCAGCCCUGCAUGCUUGUUUUUUGAGUGCCUUUUUUUAAGGCUUAUGCCCUUCACUUAGUGCGCCUCAUGACAUUAACAUCAGGGUGCUUGAAGUGUUAGCUCCUUAGACUAUGCUUUUUGGACUAAUCUUUUGCCAACCUCAGCUUUUUGGUUUGUCUUAGCUAAGAAGUCAUCAAAACACGUGAAGUGUAUUUUCAGUUAAACACAGUCUAACCCAUACAACGGGGAAGAUAUUUUAGAGAGGAGAACAAGCGAAGAGCUCAUGCAUGCCCUAGACUUUUGCUCCUUGCGACCCCAAGGAAAGUUGCAAAUUUUUGGUCGCACAUGAGACGUUUAAUUCACUUAUUUCGUUCCUUAUUUGGGUGAAACUAGAAACAAAUAGGGUUUGUUGCCUUUGGGUAGUUUGAANNN